AGCUAGAGUUUGAUCAUGGCUCAGAACGAACGCUGGCGGCAUGCCUAACACAUGCAAGUCGAACGAACUCUUCGGAGUUAGUGGCGCACGGGUGCGUAACGCGUGGGAAUCUGCCCUUGGGUACGGAAUAACUCAGAGAAAUUUGUGCUAAUACCGUAUAAUGUCUUCGGACCAAAGAUUUAUCGCCCAAGGAUGAGCCCGCGUAAGAUUAGCUAGUUGGCGGGGUAACGGCCCACCAAGGCGAAGAUCGGUAUCCGGCCUGAGAGGGCGCACGGACACACUGGAACUGAAACACGGUCCAGACUCCUACGGGAGGCAGCAGUGGGGAAUUUUGCGCAAUGGGGGAAACCCUGACGCAGCAACGCCGCGUGGAGGAUGAAGCCCCUUGGGGCGUAAACUCCUUUCGACCAAGACGAUAAUGACGGUACUGGUGGAAGAAGCACCGGCUAACUCUGUGCCAGCAGCCGCGGUAAUAAUCGC
RNAcentral lists this ribosomal RNA (480 nucleotides) under uncultured bacterium. RNAcentral describes it as "bacterial SSU rRNA". It matches the Rfam family "Bacterial small subunit ribosomal RNA", at positions 1 to 528 of the family's 1533-position model. The record is from RNAcentral.